CGCGCAUGAAUGGAUUAA
This 18-nucleotide small nuclear RNA is filed under the name Arabidopsis thaliana (thale cress). RNAcentral describes it as "snRNA_05953". Lineage: Eukaryota; Viridiplantae; Streptophyta; Magnoliopsida; Brassicales; Brassicaceae. The record is from RNAcentral.